RNAcentral lists this ribosomal RNA (449 nucleotides) under uncultured bacterium. RNAcentral describes it as "bacterial SSU rRNA". It matches the Rfam family "Bacterial small subunit ribosomal RNA", at positions 355 to 796 of the family's 1533-position model. The record is from RNAcentral.
UGGGGAAUUUUGGACAAUGGGGGCAACCCUGAUCCAGCCAUUCCGCGUGAGUGAAGAAGGCCUUCGGGUUGUAAAGCUCUUUUGUCCGGAACGAAACGGUUAGCGUGAAUAUCGCUGACUACUGACGGUACCGGAAGAAUAAGCACCGGCUAACUACGUGCCAGCAGCCGCGGUAAUACGUAGGGUGCGAGCGUUAAUCGGAAUUACUGGGCGUAAAGCGUGCGCAGGCGGUUUUGUAAGCCAGAUGUGAAAUCCCCGGGCUUAACCUGGGAAUGGCAUUUGGGACUGCAAGGCUGGAGUGUGGCAGAGGAGACUGGAAUUCCUGGUGUAGCAGUGAAAUGCGUAGAUAUCAGGAGGAAUACCGAUGGCGAAGGCAGGUCUCUGGGCUGACACUGACGCUCAUGCACGAAAGCGUGGGGAGCAAACAGGAUUAGAUACCCGUGUAGUCC